Molecule: long non-coding RNA, 811 nt
Organism: Notolabrus celidotus (New Zealand spotty)
Lineage: Eukaryota; Metazoa; Chordata; Actinopteri; Labriformes; Labridae
Exons: 3
Source: RefSeq, a predicted model, not a curated record
GCAAAGCACAUCCAAAAACAGAAGAGAGAACAGAAUAAAAGCAGUUGACCACGUACCCACACACCUUGGCAGAGGGGCACUCCACAUGCGGCGGCCACCUCCCAAGCACACAAUCUCCCUUGCCCCCUGCAGACGAUAGCCCGUGUUGCAAAAGAACGCCAGUGAGUCCCCAAUGCCAAAUUUGGAGCCGGUGUGCCAGCCGAACCGAGGCGUUCCAGGAUUCUGACAGGGUUCAAGAUCAUACUCUGGAAACAAGUCCUGAGGAAACUGACCCACAUGGCUCGCUUUGAUGAUCAUUCCCAUCACGGUCAGACGCCAUCUACCUGCGUGACCUCCUCGUCUCUUAAUUACCCUCCUCUGAACAGCACAGCCUGAGAUAGCUCCUCAUAUGCCGCCAUACCUGAGAAAGAGAUAUUGAAUCCCUGCAGCGAUAUGGAGAAGUCAGAAAUGAAGCGUAGCUGGGCCUUGAAGUUCCCGUACAGGCCGGCAUUGACUGGUGCAGGCCUCUCUGAGCCAGUGAGUCGAGCCAGCGGCUGGGCAAAGCUGCUGUUUUCUGUUAUCAGGAGGUAGUCAUGGUGAUCCUCCAGGUGGAAGUUGUGAAAAGUGAAUUGGACACCUUUGAGGAGAAAAAAAAGAAAAACUGACGUUAGAAGUUUCAGGGAAAAUACAAAGGUCACUGAUAGAAAUGUAGAAAUGCUUUCAUCUGAAUAUACAUGAUGCAUACAUCUGAUGUUUUCAUCUCCUUCCGGUAUCAUAAGGUCAAAAUAGACUGGCUGUUUAUAGUGUCAUACACUGGCUGGGAUUAAAAACA